GACGAACGCUGGCGGCGUGCUUAACUCAUGCAAGUCGAACGGAAAGGCCCUGCUUUUGUGGGGUGCUCGAGUGGCGAACGGGUGAGUAACACGUGAGUAACCUGCCCUUGACUUUGGGAUAACUUCAGGAAACUGGGGCUAAUACCGGAUAGGAGCUCCUGCUGCAUGGUGGGGGUUGGAAAGUUUCGGCGGUUGGGGAUGGACUCGCGGCUUAUCAGCUUGUUGGUGGGGUAGUGGCUUACCAAGGCUUUGACGGGUAGCCGGCCUGAGAGGGUGACCGGCCACAUUGGGACUGAGAUACGGCCCAGACUCCUACGGGAGGCAGCAGUGGGGAAUAUUGCACAAUGGGCGGAAGCCUGAUGCAGCAACGCCGCGUGCGGGAUGACGGCCUUCGGGUUGUAAACCGCUUUCGCCUGUGACGAAGCGUGAGUGACGGUAAUGGGUAAAGAAGCACCGGCUAACUACGUGC
This 469-nucleotide ribosomal RNA is filed under the name uncultured bacterium. Its description in RNAcentral is "partial 16S ribosomal RNA". It matches the Rfam family "Bacterial small subunit ribosomal RNA", at positions 28 to 508 of the family's 1533-position model. The record is from RNAcentral.